RNAcentral lists this ribosomal RNA (576 nucleotides) under uncultured eukaryote. RNAcentral describes it as "SSU rRNA". It matches the Rfam family "Eukaryotic small subunit ribosomal RNA", at positions 203 to 785 of the family's 1831-position model. The record is from RNAcentral.
UAUUUAUUAGAUAAACAACCAACGCCCUUCGGGGCUCCUUGGUGAAUCAUAAUAACUUAACGAAUCGCAUGGCCUUGCGCCGGCGAUGGUUCAUUCAAAUUUCUGCCCUAUCAACUUUCGAUGGUAGGAUAGUGGCCUACCAUGGUGGCAACGGGUAACGGGGAAUUAGGGUUCGAUUCCGGAGAGGGAGCCUGAGAAACGGCUACCACAUCCAAGGAAGGCAGCAGGCGCGCAAAUUACCCAAUCCCGAUACGGGGAGGUAGUGACAAUAAAUACUGAUACGGGGCUCUUUUGGGUCUCGUAAUUGGAAUGAGAACAAUUUAAAUCCCUUAACGAGGAACAAUUGGAGGGCAAGUCUGGUGCCAGCAGCCGCGGUAAUUCCAGCUCCAAUAGCGUAUAUUAAAGUUGUUGCAGUUAAAAAGCUCGUAGUUGAACCUUGGGUCUGGCUGGCCGGUCCGCCUCACCGCGAGUACUGGUCCGGCUGGACCUUUCCUUCUGGGGAACCUCAUGGCCUUCACUGGCUGUGGGGGGAACCAGGACUUUUACUGUGAAAAAAUUAGAGUGUUCAAAGCAGGC